UAACGCGUGGGAACAUACACAGCACAGGGGGAUAACCAUUGGAAACGAUGGCUAAUACCGCAUACGCCCUAUUGGGGAAAGAUUUAUCGGUGUUGGAUUGGCCCGCGUUAGAUUAGCUAGUUGGUGGGGUAAUGGCUCACCAAGGCGACGAUUUAUAGCUGGUUUGAGAGGAUGAUCAGCAACACUGGAACUGAGACACGGUCCAGACUCCUACGGGAGGCAGCAGUCGGGAAUAUUGUGCAAUGGGGGCAACCCUGACACAGCCAUGCCGCGUGAGUGAAGAAGGCCUUAGGGUUGUAAAGCUCUUUCAGAUGUGAGGAUGAUGACGAUAGCAUCAGAAGAAGCUCCGGCUAACUUCGUGCCAGCAGCCGCGGUAAUACGAAGGGAGCUAGCGUUGUUCGGAAUUACUGGGCGUAAAGGGCGUGUAGGCGGAUUAUCAAGUUAGGGGUGAAAUCCCGGGGCUCAACCUCGGCACUGGCUUUAAGACUGAUAAUCUAAAGUAUGUGAGGGGAUAAUG
Molecule: ribosomal RNA, 517 nt
Filed under: uncultured bacterium
Lineage: Bacteria
Description: bacterial SSU rRNA
Rfam family: Bacterial small subunit ribosomal RNA
Source: RNAcentral